Molecule: long non-coding RNA, 573 nt
Filed under: Oryza sativa Indica Group (long-grained rice)
Lineage: Eukaryota; Viridiplantae; Streptophyta; Magnoliopsida; Poales; Poaceae
Description: lncRNA OsMH63_07G010770
Source: RNAcentral
UAGCAAAGCAAAAGAAGUCACAAGCUGUUACAGAGUUCAAGCAUUCCGGGGUUGCACAUAAGCGACGUGCUAGGGUUCUACAAGAUCCCGGAGCAACACACAUACCAUAUGAUGUGCUUGUUCAUAUUCUGUUUUCUUGACAUGCGCUCUUUGGUAGCAGCUGGUCUUGUCUUCUGGUACUUCUUUUUUCUUUUGUCCAUGUCUUGGAAUUCAGCUGCAAAUGACAACCACCUGUGGAAAAUGAAUUACUCCCUUUUCAUCGGCAUAUGCCAUAUAAACUGCAACAGCUCGCCUACACCUGAUAAUGUACAGAACAACGAUGUUCAUGUGCUAAAUAGCAUGUAUCAAGUAUCUCUUGACUCUGGUUUUAACUGGAAAGAGGCUUUCCACAAUAAAAAACGAGCAAUAUGGAGUUUCACAUCAAAUAGAGCUUUAUAUGGAUAUUGCCGAUCUGUCAUUUGGCUAUGCAACUUGACGUGUGAUACUCCACAUCAUUGUCCUAAGAAUGGAAAAGAUGGACUAAAACUAGGACCUCUAUUACCUCAUACAGUAAUCACUUUUAUCUAUUGUUAA